GGCUCAGGACUAACGCCGGCGGCGUGCCUAAGACAUGCAAGUCGUACGCGAAAGUCGUAGCAAUACGGCAAGUAGAGUGGCGAAAGGGUGAGUAACACGUGGGUAAUCUUCCUUAAGGACUGGGAUAACCCAGCGAAAGCUGGGCUAAUACCGGAUGAUGCCAUAGAUUCUUCGGAGUUUAUGGUCAAAGGCGGGGCCGCAAGACCUGCCACCUUUAGAUGAGCCCGCGGCCUAUCAGCUAGUUGGUAAGGUAACGGCUUACCAAGGCGAAGACGGGUAGCUGGCGUGAGAGCGCGACCAGCCACACUGGAACUGAGACACGGUCCAGACUCCUACGGGAGGCAGCAGUCGGGAAUUUUGGUCAAUGGGCGAAAGCCUGAACCAGCGACGCCGCGUGCAGGAUGAAGUCCUUCGGGAUGUAAGCUGCUGUCGGGUGGGACGAAAUCUUCUGGGUAAAUAAUCCAGAAGGAUGACGGUACCACCGGAGGAAGCACCGGCUAACUCUGUGCCAGCAGCCGCGGUAAGACAGAGGGUGCAAGCGUUGUCCGGAUUGACUGGGUGUAAAGGGCGUGUAGGCGGUUUGGUAAGUCCAAUGUGAAAUCAUCAUCGCUCAACGAGAUGUCCGCAUUGGAUACUGUCAGACUUGAGUGCAGAAGAGAGAAACGGAAUUCCUGGUGUAGCGGUGGAAUGUGUAGAUAUCAGGAGGAACACCUGUGGCGAAGGCGGUUUCUUGGUCUGUUACUGACGCUGAGGCGCGAAAGCUAGGGGAGCAAACCGGAUUAGAUACCCGGGUAGUCCUAGCCGUAAACGAUGGAUACUAGGUGUGGGAGGUAUCGACCCCUUCCGUGCCGUAGUUAACGCAUUAAGUAUCCCACCUGGGGAGUACGGUCGCAAGACUGAAACUCAAAAGAAUUGACGGGGGCCCGCACAAGCGGUGGAGCAUGUGGUUCAAUUCGACACAACGCGAAGAACCUUACCAGGGCUUGACAUGUAUUGGUUGUAGGGAUCCGAAAGGUGACCGAGCUUAUAGAAAUAUAAGCGCCGAUACACAGGUGCUGCAUGGCUGUCGUCAGCUCGUGUCGUGAGAUGUUGGGUUAAGUCCCGCAACGAGCGCAACCCCUAUCCUUAGUUGCUAACAGGUCGCAAGAUGCUGAGCACUCUACGGAGACUGCCUCGUAUAACGAGGAGGAAGGUGGGGAUGACGUCAAGUCCUCAUGGCCUUUAUGCCCUGGCUACACACGUGCUACAAUGACCGGAACAACGAGAUGCAAACCCGCGAGGGCAAGCCAACCUCUGAAAACCGGCCCCAGUUCGGAUUGUAGGCUGCAAUUCGCCUGCAUGAAGUUGGAAUCGCUAGUAAUCGCGGAUCAGCUACGCCGCGGUGAAUACGUUCUCGGGCCUUGUACACACCGCCCGUCACAUCACGAAAGCCUGCUGUACCAGAAAUCGGUGAGCUAACCUGCAUAGGAGGCAGCCGCUGAAGGUAUGGCCGGUGAUUGGGGUGAAGUCGUAACAAGGUA
RNAcentral lists this ribosomal RNA (1520 nucleotides) under metagenome. RNAcentral's name for it is "bacterial SSU rRNA". It matches the Rfam family "Bacterial small subunit ribosomal RNA". The record is from RNAcentral.